This 115-nucleotide ribosomal RNA is filed under the name Dolosicoccus paucivorans. The record is from RNAcentral. Lineage: Bacteria; Bacillati; Bacillota; Bacilli; Lactobacillales; Aerococcaceae.
GUGGUGAUUAAAGCAAGAAGGACCCACCUGUUCCCAUGCCGAACACAGUCGUUAAGCUUCUUAGCGCCGAUGGUAAUGAAGACGUUAUCUUUGUGAGAGUAGGUCGUUGCCACGC